UACGUAGGUGGCAAGCGUUGUCCGGAAUUAUUGGGCGUAAAGCGCGCGCAGGCGGUCCUUUAAGUCUGAUGUGAAAGGCCACGGCUCAACCGUGGAGGGUCAUUGGAAACUGGGGGACUUGAGUGCAGAAGAGGAAAGCGGAAUUCCACGUGUAGCGGUGAAAUGCGUAGAGAUGUGGAGGAACACCAGUGGCGAAGGCGGCUUUCUGGUCUGUAACUGACGCUGAGGCGCGAAAGCGUGGGGAGCAAACAGG
Molecule: ribosomal RNA, 253 nt
Filed under: uncultured bacterium
Lineage: Bacteria
Description: partial 16S ribosomal RNA
Rfam family: Bacterial small subunit ribosomal RNA
Source: RNAcentral